Molecule: long non-coding RNA, 2810 nt
Organism: Pecten maximus
Lineage: Eukaryota; Metazoa; Mollusca; Bivalvia; Pectinida; Pectinidae
Exons: 2
Source: RefSeq, a predicted model, not a curated record
GUAACCACAUUUCUAUGUACAGUUAACAUCAAACUGUUACUGACGGUAACCACAUUUCUAUGUACAGUUAACAUCAAACUGUUACUGACGGUAACCACAUUUCUAUGUACAGUUAACAUCAAACUGUUACUGACGGUAACCACAUUUCUAUGUACAGUAUACAUCAAACUGUUACUGACGGUAACCACAUUUCUAUGUACAGUUAACAUCAAACUGUUACUGAUGGUAACCACAUUUCUAUGUACAGUAAACAUCAACUGUUACCAACGGUAACCACAUUUCUAUGUACAGUACGGUAACCACAUUUCUAUGUACAGUAAACAUCAAACUGUUACUGACGGUAACCACAUUUCUAUGUACAGUAUACAUCAAACUGUUACUGACGGUAACCACAUUUCUAUGUACAGUUUACAUCAAACUGUUACUGACUGUAACCACAUUUCUAUGUACAGUAAACAUCAAACUGUUACUGACGGUAACCACAUUUCUAUGUACAGUAUACAUCAAACUGUUACUGACGGUAACCACAUUUCUAUGUACAGUUAACAUCAAACUGUUACUGACGGUAACCACAUUUCUAUGUACAGUAAACAUCAACUGUUACCAACGGUAACCACAUUUCUAUGUACAGUAUACAUGUACAUCAACUGUUACCAACGGUAACCACAUUUCUAUGUACAGUACGGUAACCACAUUUCUAUGUACAGUAAACAUCAAACUGUUACUGACGGUAACCACAUUUCUAUGUACAGUAAACAUCAAACUGUUACUUACGGUAACCACAUUUCUAUGUACAGUAAACAUCAAACUGUUACUAACGGUAACCACAUUUCUAUGUACAGUAUACAUCAAACUGUUACUGACGGUAACCACAUUUCUAUGUACAGUAAACAUCAAACUGUUACUAACGGUAACCACAUUUCUAUGUACAGUAUACAUCAAACUGUUACUGACGGUAACCACAUUUCUAUGUACAGUAAACAUCAAACUGUUACUGUACGGUAACCACAUUUCUAUGUACAGUAUACAUCAAACUGUUACUGACGGUAACCACAUUUCUAUGUACAGUAAACAUCAAACUGUUACUGACGGUAACCACAUUUCUAUGUACAGUAAACAUCAACUGUUACUGAUGGUAACCAAGUAACCACAUUUCUAUGUACAGUACGGUUACCACAUUUCUAUGUACAGUAAACAUUAACUGUUACUGAUGGUAACCACAUUUCUAUGUACAGUAAACAUCAACUGUUACUGAUGGUAACCACAUUUCUAUGUACAGUUAACAUCAAACUGUUACUGACUGUAACCACAUUUCUAUGUACAGUAUACAUCAACUGUUACUGACGGUAACCAAGUAACCACAUUUCUAUGUACAGGACGGUAACCACAUUUCUAUGUACAGUAAACAUUAAACUGUUACUAACGGUAACCAAGUAACCACAUUUCUAUGUACAGUACGGUAACCACAUUUCUAUGUACAGUACGGUAACCACAUUUCUAUGUACAGUAAACAUUAAACUGUUACUGUACGGUAACCACAUUUCUAUGUACUGUACGGUAACCACAUUUCUAUGUACAGUACGGUAACCACAUUUCUAUGUACAGUAAACAUCAAACUGUUACUGACGGUAACCACAUUUCUAUGUACAGUACGGUAACCACAUUUCUAUGUACUGUACGGUAACCACAUUUCUAUGUACAGUAAACAUCAACUGUUACUGUACGGUAACCACAUUUCUAUGUACAGUACGGUAACCACAUUUCUAUGUACAGUAAACAUCAACUGUUACUGACGGUAACCAAGUAACCACAUUUCUAUGUACAGGACGGUAACCACAUUUCUAUGUACAGUAAACAUUAAACUGUUACUAACGGUAACCACAUUUCUAUGUACAGUAAACAUCAAACUGUUACUGACGGUAACCAGGUAACCACAUUUCUAUGUACAGGACGGUAACCACAUUUCUAUGUACAGUAAACAUCAAACUGUUACUAACGGUAACCACAUUUCUAUGUACAGUAAACAUCAACUGUUACUGACGGUAACCACAUUUCUAUGUACAUUAAACAUCCAACUGUUACCAACGGUAACCACAUUUCUAUGUACAGUACGGUUACCACAUUUCUAUGUACAGUAUACAUCAAAUGGUUACUGACGGUAACCAAAUUUCUAUGUACAGUACGGUAACCACAUUUCUAUGUACAGUACGGUUACCACAUUUCUAUGUACAGUAAACAUCAAACUGUUACUGACGGUAACCACAUUUCUAUGUACAGUACGGUAACCACAUUUCUAUGUACAGUAUACAUCAAACUGUUACUGUACGGUAACCACAUUUCUAUGUACAGUACAGUAACCACAUUUCUAUGUACAGUACGGUAACCACAUUUCUAUGUACAGUAUACAUCAAACUAUUACUGACGGUAACCACAUUUCUAUGUACAGUACGGUAACCACAUUUCUAUGUACAGUAUACAUCAAACUAUUACUGACGGUAACCACAUUUCUAUGUACAUUAAACAUCCAACUGUUAUUAACGGUAACCACAUUUCUGUAUACUGUAUAAUAUACAUAAAUCUUUAUCUGGCGGUGACCGUAUUUCAUUAUCGAUCACAUUGUUAUUCCCGUUUUGUCUUUCAUAUCGUUAAAGUAAGCAUUGACGAAGUGAUUGACGUACAUACAUUAUCAUAAGUUUAUAUAUAUAUAUUUAUAUUUGUUGUACAUGGACGUAUGUGUAUGAAAUCCGUUGUCAUGACGAUGUGGAAUUGAUCCACAUAUAUCACGUAAUAAUAAAACAUAAAAAAAAUGU